UACCACCCUAAAUGCACCCUAUCUUGUCUGAUCUCGGAAGCUAAGCAGGGUCAGGCCUGGUUAGUACUUGGAUGCGAGGGUGAAUUCUUAACCUUUGUUGUUCUCCUGGGACACAGGUC
This is a ribosomal RNA of Cricetulus griseus (Chinese hamster), 119 nucleotides long. NCBI's taxonomy places the organism in Eukaryota, Metazoa, Chordata, Mammalia, Rodentia, Cricetidae. The record is from Ensembl.